Molecule: long non-coding RNA, 1541 nt
Organism: Beta vulgaris subsp. vulgaris (sugar beet)
Lineage: Eukaryota; Viridiplantae; Streptophyta; Magnoliopsida; Caryophyllales; Amaranthaceae
Exons: 2
Source: RefSeq, a predicted model, not a curated record
UCUCUUUUGUUCAUUUGAUCUUGAGUUCCUGUCCUAAAAUGAGUUUUUUUUUUGGUUUUAAGUUGUGUAUAAGUUGUGUAUUUAGUAUUCAUUGUGUUGCUUUAGUUGUGUUCAUCUUGAAGUCGGUUUAUUGGUUUUAUGCUGUCUAUUUGGUAUAUUGUUACGUUUUUUUAUCUUCUUGAAUGAUUGAGUGAUGUUUGUAUUUUUUUACGUAAGAAAUUUGAGUGUUUGAAGUCUUGAAGCUUAGGAUAUAAUAUUGAAGAGUAAGAAAAUAGGGUAGGGUUUCUUUUUGAGUUGUCUCCGCUAGAAGUUAAACUGGUAUUGCAAUUAUUUGAGAAAGUUCUGUUUAUCAGUUGUGAGCGGUAAUAGGCCAGAUAUGUUUUUGUGGUAUGUUCUUGAUUGCUAUUUUACUGCUAAUAUUUUGUUAAUCCAAUUUUUAGAUUACCUGUGAUUGCUUGAUGUUUGUAAAUAGUCUUGUAGAAAUAACAUAAAAAGUAAUUGAUGCUAUGGAAGUUUGCAUUGUUGGAGGCUCCUUGUAAUCACCUAAACCAGUUACCCUUGGUACUAAUCAAUUUGGAAAACGUUGCUGAUGUUUUGUGCAUAAUAGUGAAAUUUCAUUUUGAAACACCCUAAUGCUCUGUAACAUUCUUAUAAGUUAAUAACUUACGUGUAAGUUAAUACCUAUUUGUCCUUGUUGUUUGCCUCUGUCAACCUUUCUCCUCAUCUUGCCCCCAUUCUCAGCCUGUACAUUUCUUUCAGGAGGGCAGGGUACUUUUAUAUUUCUUGAUUGGCCAACUUAAAUAGUCAUCAACACCUUACACGAGUUUGUUACUCUUGCUUUCAACUUUACUUGGAUCGUAUUGAGCUAGGCAUGUACUGUUGUUUAGGUAUAUUUUUCUUAGAUGUGUCCUUUAAUCAGUUCCAACUUCCAAAAUAUUGUUGGGUCAAAAAUCAAGAUUUACGAGACUUCUUCAAUUCUGCUUUGUGAUUUGACCUUCUGUUGUUGCAUCAUAUCACCUACCCCUUUUUCUUAGGGGGUGGGGGAGUUACAAAGUUAGAUUCCAACGUUUGCAAUGUAUUUUUCCCAUCUCCUCCAUGCCAACAUCUCUUCCCAGCAAAUUAAAAGAGUAUAUUCCCAUCUUCCCAUGCCAACAUCAUAUCAUUGUCCUUGAAAAUUCUUUGUUGAUUCUUGACUCUCGUGACAUGCUUCAGUGUCGCUGCUGCAAGGGGAAGAUGCAACUAUCCAAACAUUUUUGUCUACAAAAGAAAGAGGAUAGCUACUUGCGAAGGCCCGAUCAGUUGACAUUUGAUCUUGAUUCCUUAUUACCAUUCCAAAGUUGAUAGUGCUUAAUUCAACUGUUCAAAUUGUAUAUACCACUGGUAUAUAGUGUAGUAUGUGGGGGUAGUGUUGUAGAUGGACACUUGUUCUUUCCGUGUAGUAUGUUUGGAUAGUUUUGUAGAUGAACACUGGUUCUUUCUGUGUAGUACUUGUUUGCUGGUUACAUUGUGCAAUUUGUGAAUAAAAUCUGAUUGUGAGUUUA